Molecule: ribosomal RNA, 217 nt
Filed under: uncultured prokaryote
Description: partial 16S ribosomal RNA
Rfam family: Bacterial small subunit ribosomal RNA
Source: RNAcentral
UACGGAGGGUGCGAGCGUUGUCCGGAAUCACUGGGCGUAAAGGGCGCGUAGGCGGCCCGUUAAGUGGCUGGUGAAAUCCCGCGGCUCAACUGCGGGGCUGCCGGUCAGACUGGCGAGCUAGAGCACGGUAGGGGCAGAUGGAAUUCCCGGCGUAGCGGUGAAAUGCGCAGAUAUCGGGAGGAACACCGGUGGCGAAGGCGGUUCUCUGGGCCUUACC